GCGUUAAAGUAAAUUGCAAGAAUUAAAUGCUUGAAUUAAAAGUUAGUAAUUAGUAGUUAGUGUUAAUGUGCCAUAAGGCAAUUUAGCGCUAUGUUAAGGUUAGCAUUCACCUGAUUACAUCAUCAGUGUGCUAUCUGAGGUCGGUCAAUAAAACUAUAGGCAAAUAAAUACAAGUUAGAGAUCAUGACUAGUAAGCCAAGCUCCUACAACUUGUCAUGCCAAA
This 223-nucleotide long non-coding RNA is filed under the name Lathyrus oleraceus (garden pea). Its description in RNAcentral is "Pisum sativum (pea) long non-coding RNA (PSAT_LNC006208)". Lineage: Eukaryota; Viridiplantae; Streptophyta; Magnoliopsida; Fabales; Fabaceae. The record is from RNAcentral.